GUUCCAGCUUAGGGUCGGAAUCGUUAGCGAAGUCGAGAGAUGGAGCUAAUCUGAGAAAGCCGAUCGUAGUCCGGAUUGGAGUCUGCAACUCGACUCCAUGAAGUCGGAAUCGCUAGUAAUCGUGGAUCAGAAUGCCACGGAGAAUACGUUCCCGGGCCUUGUACACACCGCCCGUCACACCAUGGGAGUGGGCUGCAAAAGAAGUGGGUAGUUUAACCUUCGGGAGGACGCUUACCACUUUGUGGUUCAUGACUGGGGUGAAGUCGUAACAAGGUAGCCCUAGGGGAACCUGGGGCUGGAUCACCUCCUUA
RNAcentral lists this ribosomal RNA (311 nucleotides) under Pacificibacter marinus. RNAcentral describes it as "partial 16S ribosomal RNA". It matches the Rfam family "Bacterial small subunit ribosomal RNA", at positions 1220 to 1533 of the family's 1533-position model. Lineage: Bacteria; Pseudomonadati; Pseudomonadota; Alphaproteobacteria; Rhodobacterales; Roseobacteraceae. The record is from RNAcentral.